Long non-coding RNA from Physeter macrocephalus (sperm whale), 772 nucleotides. RefSeq lists it as uncharacterized. The record is from RefSeq and is a predicted model, not a curated record. The transcript has 4 exons. Lineage: Eukaryota; Metazoa; Chordata; Mammalia; Artiodactyla; Physeteridae.
UUAGAAAAAAGGAUUGGGAAUUAACAAUUUGGAAGAGCAGAAAUUAACUUUGGUCAUGAAAGGACUUGGAUACUCACUAACACAGCUUUUCCUGUUGGCUAGGGAAAGGAAUGGCACCUAGGGAAAGAGGACAAGGCAAAGAGAAAGCAGAAACCUGCCCGCUGAGAAGAGCUUGCUGAGCACUCGUUUCUACCCAGGUAGUUCCAAGGGUUUUGACAAAUGAAAAGACAAAAGCAUCACCAUAAUCAGCCUACAGAACGAGACCCUCACUCCCAAAUUUCCGUGUGGCGUUCCGUGCAGGCGAAACUUCCUCCCACCAUUCAGAUAUCUUCAAAUCAACCCUGCUUGACUGGCAGAUCCAUGAAACUUGCAGAGCAGAGAAAUUUGUUCCAAGGUUGAGUGGAUUCUUAAAACUUCUUUGGAGAGGCACCAUCUAAGUUAAUUCUGUAAUGAUCAAGUUACAAAUAUUUUAUUAAUUUGAAGAUAGACAAUAUGGCACUGAUGCAAGCACCUAUGACUCUCAAAGGAGAGCAAUGCGAUCCUGGGAUGACGAAUUCUGGGUGCUCGUGUAAUGCUAGAACCAGCUGGUGUGAUUAGAAAGUCCAUGGCGGGGCUUCCCUGGUGGCACAGUGGUUAAGAAUCCACCUGCCAAUGCAGGGGACAUGGGUUUGAGCCCUGGUCUGGGAAGAUCCCACAUGCCGUGGAGCAACUAAGCCCAUGCGCCACAACUACUGAAGCCUAUACGCCUAGAGCCCGUGCUCUACAACAAGAG